Molecule: ribosomal RNA, 501 nt
Filed under: uncultured bacterium
Lineage: Bacteria
Description: partial 16S ribosomal RNA
Rfam family: Bacterial small subunit ribosomal RNA
Source: RNAcentral
AUUGAACGCUGGCGGCAGGCUUAACACAUGCAAGUCGAGCGGGGGAAGGUAGCUUGCUACUGGACCUAGCGGCGGACGGGUGAGUAAUGCUUAGGAAUCUGCCUAUUAGUGGGGGACAACAUCUCGAAAGGGAUGCUAAUACCGCAUACGUCCUACGGGAGAAAGCAGGGGAUCUUCGGACCUUGCGCUAAUAGAUGAGCCUAAGUCGGAUUAGCUAGUUGGUGGGGUAAAGGCCUACCAAGGCGACGAUCUGUAGCGGGUCUGAGAGGAUGAUCCGCCACACUGGGACUGAGACACGGCCCAGACUCCUACGGGAGGCAGCAGUGGGGAAUAUUGGACAAUGGGGGGAACCCUGAUCCAGCCAUGCCGCGUGUGUGAAGAAGGCCUUAUGGUUGUAAAGCACUUUAAGCGAGGAGGAGGCUACUCUAGUUAAUACCUAGGGAUAGUGGACAUUACUCGCAGAAUAAGCACCGGCUAACUCUGUGCCAGCAGCCGCAGUAA